GGAAACCUGUGGGAGUACCAACAGUGGAGUAGCAGCCUGGCUUCUCAAUCACAAAACUGCCAUCUCCUCAUCUACCCUGUUAACUGAAUUUGCUUGGAUAGAGUCAAAAUGCAUGAGAGGGAGUUCAGGAAGUAGUUGGUGCUCAUUUCUUAAUGAAUUCUUGGACAUGUUAGUCACUGCGUUGUUUUCAGCAUACCCUCACAGUUGCUGAACUGGAGCACGAAUUACAUUGGAGACUUGUGACUUUCACAUCUACUCUGUGAGCCUGUGCAUGCCUUUGUGGAGGCAAAAAAAUCUGAAACCUUAUGGAUCAGAACCACGACAUGCAUUACAGGGUUGAAGAAUGCCUCUCCAGAGUUAGAGGUCUCUAGUUAGUAUGAAGGCUCAGACAGUGGAGCAUCUGUCAUAAAUGAGGACAUCCACGAUUUACUGCUGCCAGGACACCGUCUAUGACAUGACCAAAUGGGGUUCUUUUUUCUACAAGAACAGCAGAACAUGUUUCUGACUCAACUUUAGCCCUGUGAUGGAUGCCUAUCUAUUGAGGGACCUGGACUAAGACAAUUAAUCUGAAACCACAAUUUUAACAAUGCCAUCUUGACUGCAUUGGAAAAUCCUGUAAAAGAUAAGUUUCAAAUUUCAAAACAUGAAAUGUUGUGAUAUGUUGUUGUCUGAGAAAUACGCUUUUUAAAGUGUUAUGAUUGAGUCCUUGUAGUAAGGAAAGGUAGUCUGAAGGUUCAGAGAGCAUGCAGAGGCUGGAGACAUGAACUCAGUUUCCACAUUCAGCUGGAGACUUUAAGACUUCAAUUUCUGGUUUUAGUUCUCUGGCCACAAUGAAGGUGAUGAUCAUUCUUCUCCCAAUCUUAUCCCAUUAUUCAGUCUCUAAACUGUUGAGAGGUCUUUGCUACUAUUCAUGCAUAACAUGUAGUCCUUGUGUUACUUGGGGCCUCAGGAAAUACUUAAAAUACUCUUUUUUUUUUUAAUUAUCUGUAUGUAAACUGCACAUAGUGUUUAUUAAAUAGCUAUUAAGAUAACAGAGAUGAGCUUCACGAGAAACUCUGAAUGCUGAGUACUAUUCAAAACUUAAAAUAAUUAUGGUCUUUCCAGUGUGGGUGUAACUUUACAACUUGAAAAUACGUAUACACAGGAUUUGGCUUGGGGCUUGUCUUUUCAUUUUCAUUCCUAACCACACUGCCUGAACACCCUUUAUGGAAAGUAAAAUGUUGCAUACAGAUAAUUCCUCCUGGACAAGAGCAAGAUCAAUACAAAGCAACAUGACAAAAGUAAUUGCAAAGUCCAAUAGAGGUGAUAUCUAAUCAAACAGCCCCAGCUUGACUGAUAAAGGAGAAACAAGGAAAUUUUUGUACCGGCUGCUGCUGAGCAUCACCCUUGACUUGGCAAUUUUAUCCC
Molecule: long non-coding RNA, 1407 nt
Organism: Pogoniulus pusillus (Red-fronted tinkerbird)
Lineage: Eukaryota; Metazoa; Chordata; Aves; Piciformes; Lybiidae
Exons: 4
Source: RefSeq, a predicted model, not a curated record